CCUACGGGAGGCUGCAGUGGGGAAUAUUGGACAAUGGGGGGAACCCUGAUCCAGCGACGCCGCGUGAGUGAAGAAGUAUUUCGGUAUGUAAAGCUCUAUCAGCAGGGAAGAAAGAAAUGACGGUACCUGACUAAGAAGCCCCGGCUAACUACGUGCCAGCAGCCGCGGUAAUACGUAGGGGGCAAGCGUUAUCCGGAUUUACGGGGUGUAAAGGGGGCGUAGACGGCGAUGCAAGUCUGAAGUGAAAGGCGGGGGCCCAACCCCCGGACUGCUUUGGAAACUGUAUGGCUGGAGUGCAGGAGAGGUAAGUGGAAUUCCUAGUGUAGCGGUGAAAUGCGUAGAUAUUAGGAGGAACACCAGUGGCGAAGGCGGCUUACUGGACUGUAACUGACGUUGAGGCUCGAAAGCGUGGGGAGCAAACAGGAUUAGAUACCCCUGUAGUC
Molecule: ribosomal RNA, 443 nt
Filed under: uncultured bacterium
Lineage: Bacteria
Description: partial 16S ribosomal RNA
Rfam family: Bacterial small subunit ribosomal RNA
Source: RNAcentral